AUUGAACGCUGGCGGCAGGCCUAACACAUGCAAGUCGAGCGGAUGAAGGGAGCUUGCUCCUGGAUUCAGCGGCGGACGGGUGAGUAAUUCCUAGGAAUCUGCCUGGCAGUUGGGGAUAACGUCCGUAAACGGGCGCUAAUACCGCAUACGUCCUGAUGUAGAAAGUGGGGGAUCUUCGGACCUCACGCUAUCAGAUGAGCCUAGGUCGGAUUAGCUAGUUGGUGGGGUAAAGGCCUACCAAGGCGACGAUCCGUAACUGGUCUGAGAGGAUGAUCAGUCACACUGGAACUGAGACACGGUCCAGACUCCUACGGGAGGCAGCAGUGGGGAAUAUUGGACAAUGGGCGAAAGCCUGAUCCAGCCAUGCCGCGUGUGUGAAGAAGGUCUUCGGAUUGUAAAGCACUUUAAGUUGGGAGGAAGGGCAGUAAGUUAAUACCUUGCUGUUUUGACGUUACCAACAGAAUAAGCACCGGCUAACUUCGUG
Molecule: ribosomal RNA, 484 nt
Filed under: uncultured bacterium
Lineage: Bacteria
Description: partial 16S ribosomal RNA
Rfam family: Bacterial small subunit ribosomal RNA
Source: RNAcentral